AAAAGACAAUCUCUCCUCAAACUACCCAAUAAUUUGCCCAAAGCCGCAGAGCUGGUAAUAUGGUGGAGCAGGGACUUCAAUGUGGACAGUCAGAUUCUAGACUGUCCAACAGAAACAUAAUGCAAGCCACAUAUGCCAUUUUAAUGUUAUGGUAGCUACGUUUACAAAGCAAAAAGAAGCAGGGGAAAUUAAUGUUUUAUUUAACCCAAUGGAUACAAAAGAUAAUUUCAACACAUCAUCAAUAUAAAAUUACUGAGAUAUUUUGUAUUUUUUAUACUAAGUCUUUGAAGUCUGAUGUGUCUUUUAUACUUAUAGUACAUCUCAAUUCAAUCACUAUAUUUUCAUUGGGAAGACGAUUUGUAUUUCUAGUUCAUGAAAUUUACAUUGAAAACAUAGAUACACGUCCCUAAGCUGUUCCGAAUAAACUUAAAGUUUCCCAGUAACUGAAUCAAGUAGAAGUUUUUACAUUGACAUUUAAAUUGAAGUUAAAUAAAAUUGCAAAUUCAGUUCCUCGGUCACACUAGGCACAUUUAAAACACUCAGAAGCCACGUGUGCUAGUGGCUACCGUAUUGGAUAGCAUAGUUCUGGAAGCUGCACACUUAAGCUCCUUUUUUGUCGAUUCCCUGUACCCAAGUUCACAGUUACGUGUUGGCAGGUGUGCAUCUGUAUUUAGGUGGUGCACAAUCUCUACAACUGGAAGACUGGGGACCGGCUUCGUCGUUGUUGCCCUGUUUCCGAUUAGCUCAGUUUGAUUGUGGGUGACCUCAGGUGAGUCGUUCUACUCCUCUGGGCCUCUGCCUCCUCAUUUGUCAAUGAGGGAGUGUGAUCUCAGUCAUCUUUUCUAGCUCUCGAAUGAUGUAUGAUUUCUCUCUUCUAAAAGAAGGAGGAAGGAGGACAUUAUUAAAGCUGUGGGCACCAGGGCGCACACACACAUUCUUUUCAAUGAAAUAGGUGAAACUGGUGUUGCCAGUCUCUGGCAGCUGCUGCAGUGCAGUGGGCAAGCAGGACUCGCACAGCGCUGUCUUCUCUCAUCUAGUACUGAGGGACGGGGUAAUUGUAUCUUUCUCCAGAAUGCCGGGGAUAAAGAAACACUGAAGCAUUGCCUGGGCUCCAAAUUCCAGGAAAUAUUGUGAGUUUUUUCCUUUAUAUACCUCCCCUUUUAAGGAAGAAAAUCCUGUACGUGAUGGAAAGCCCUGCGUUGGUUUCUGCAGUGGUUCUGAGUCGCUGGUUUCCUGGAGCGGGCUGUGUUCUUUUAUGUGUGAAAGAAAGGGCCUUUGGCUCCUUUAGACUCCCCACUGUUUAUUAUGUGUGCUCCUGGCUUGUUAGUCAGGAUGGGGCUUUUCAUUUAUUGGAUAGCAUAAAACCUUUGUUAUAUUUUAGCUACAGAGCUACAAAAGGAUGGCGAGGGGAUUCAAGUCGAACUGGAGAGUAACUAUGGAGGCUUGAGGCCCUGCAAGCCACAUGAUAGCUUUCAGAGACGCACACCAUCAGUUCCUGCUAAUGGGUUCUGCGUCCAAUUCCAGUGAGUGGGGAACGGGGUGUUCCCUACACCAACAAGCAAUUCUCCGACGCCAGCUGGUUGUCCUACAGUUCAACUCAGUUCUGACACUAUCCGCUGGAGACAGCCUCAGAUUCCACAGGUUAAGGGUUCGGUCCCACAGGACUGCCCUCCGCUUCAGAUGCCAAUCGUAAGUCCAGGUUGUCGCCUGUGCUUCCUAUGGACCAGGCCAGCUACAGAUUGGAGGCUCCCAUGACUCCCUCCUUGGGUUCGAUUAAUUUGCUGGAGUGACUCACAGAACCCAGGAAACUUAUUUGCUCACUAAAUUACUAGUUAAUUACAAAGGACAUUAAAGGAAACGAAUCAACAGCCAGACACAUAGGGGGAGGUCCUGACCAAAGGAGCGUCUGUCCUCA
Long non-coding RNA from Equus caballus (horse), 1915 nucleotides. The record is from Ensembl. NCBI's taxonomy places the organism in Eukaryota, Metazoa, Chordata, Mammalia, Perissodactyla, Equidae.